Molecule: long non-coding RNA, 1297 nt
Organism: Anolis carolinensis (green anole)
Lineage: Eukaryota; Metazoa; Chordata; Lepidosauria; Squamata; Anolidae
Exons: 4
Source: RefSeq, a predicted model, not a curated record
AGGAAUAAGCAUUCUGGAUCUGGAAAUGUUACCCGUGAAAGAAUUUUGUGUAACUAGUGUAUACCAAGCUUAUUAUUGUGCAGUUAGUGUACACCAACGUUUAUUUUUUUACUAAUAAGGGUAUAAUCCUAUAUCUUCUUAGCUGCCAAUCAGCUCAACAAACCCAGUAGGGCUUACUUCUGAGACCCCAUUUGGGAUUGGGAUCCACAGAUUAAGAAGCAGUGGGUUAGGUGGCAAUUCUCACUAAACAAAUAAACAAAUGUUGGAUUCUAACAACAUGAGCUGUUCAGAGUGGUGAGAGGCUUAACCCAGGUGCCCUCCUCUCUGAACCCAUUAUUAGAACCUUCAGUGGCUCACGGUGGUGCUUUUAACAACUACUUCAUGGAUAAAAUCUCUUGCAUAAGAGCUGACUAUCAUUGGAGCAGAGGCCAACUUAAAGAGUCCAGUGACUCUGUGAGUGGAAUUACAUUGAAUCUGUUUCAACUGAAGCAAAGAUGAAGUACUUUGGCCACAUAAUGAGAAGACAGGAAAGCUUGGAGAAGAGAAUGAUGCUGGGGAAAAUGGAAGGAAAAAGGAAGAGAGGCCAACCAAGGGCAAGAUGGAUGGAUGGUAUCCUUGAAGUGACUGGCCUGACAUUGAAGGAACUGGGGGUGGUGAAGGCUGACAUGGAGCUCUGGCGUGGGCUGGUCCAUGAGGUCACGAAGAGUUGGAAGCAACUAAAUGAAUAAACAACAACUGUGGAAAACUUUGAACCUGUGUGUGUCCCUUCGCUCAUCAGGGGAAGCUUUCCUGUCCCCACUCCCGAUAUCCCAGACCCGCCUUGUGGGAACAAGGGAGAGGGCCUUUUCUGCUGUGGCCCCCCGAUUGUGGAAUUCUCUGCCGGCGGAGAUUAGGCAAGCCCCCACACUAGCAGCCUUCAAGAAAGAAUUGAAAACAUGGCUCUUUUGCUGCGCUUUUGGAGAGUAACCAUUUUAUAUUUCUUUUCCGUUGCUCCCCCUAAUAUCUAUCCUCCAGAAUACCCCACUCCCUUAUGACCCUGUUCGAUGUGGUUUUUAUUUUUAUGUCUUUCUCACCUCGAGUUUUAACUUAAUGUUCAUGUGGUCUGCCCUUGUUUUUAUUGUCUCCUUGUUUUAUUUUGUAAUGGAUAUUAUUUACUGUAUUGUUUAUUGUUUUGUGUUGUGCUGUUCUUUUAUAUACUGUUUACAUUAUAUUGUUUUGGGCGUGGCCCCAUGUAAGCCGCCCCGAGUCCCCAUUGGGGAGAUGGUGGCGGGGUAUAAAUAAAGUAUUAUUAUUAUUA